This is a long non-coding RNA of Carassius carassius (crucian carp), 257 nucleotides long. RefSeq lists it as uncharacterized. The record is from RefSeq and is a predicted model, not a curated record. The transcript has 3 exons. NCBI's taxonomy places the organism in Eukaryota, Metazoa, Chordata, Actinopteri, Cypriniformes, Cyprinidae.
GAUGGAUCAAUGAGGAGAGAGAGACUCUUGGGGAACGUAACUAUGGUAACUGACGUGAGUCAGGCUGCGCUGAAACAGCAGCAGUUCAUCUCUCGUUCUCUGCCGUGCUUCAGAUCUUAACGUGAUGAGCGAGUGAGGUUGUGACAGAAGCCUGAUGUUACAGUCGUGAUAUGUGCUGCCCAGCGUGAGAAGCAAGAAGCCCGUCUCCUCCUCCUCCUCCUCUUCAUCUCGUGUGCCCGUGUUCGACAGCCCAAGAG